RNAcentral lists this ribosomal RNA (826 nucleotides) under uncultured bacterium. Its description in RNAcentral is "bacterial SSU rRNA". It matches the Rfam family "Bacterial small subunit ribosomal RNA", at positions 62 to 871 of the family's 1533-position model. The record is from RNAcentral.
UCGAGGGGCAGCGGGGUAGGAAGCUUGCUUUCUGCCGCCGGCGACCGGCGCACGGGUGAGUAACACGUAUGCAACCUGGCCGUGACAGAUGGAUAACCGGGAGAAAUCCCGCCUAAUACAACAUAAUGCCGGGAGGGGACAUCCCCUGCCGGUCAAAGGAAGCGAUUCCGGCUACGGAUGGUCAUGCGUCGCAUUAGCUGGUUGGCGGGGUAACGGCCCACCAAGGCGACGAUGCGUAGGGGUUCUGAGAGGAAGGUCCCCCACACUGGUACUGAGACACGGACCAGACUCCUACGGGAGGCAGCAGUGAGGAAUAUUGGUCAAUGGCCGCAGGGCUGAACCAGCCAAGUCGCGUGAGGGAUGACGGUCCUAUGGAUUGUAAACCUCUUUUGUCAGGGAGCAAAGGGCGCCACGUGUGGCGCUUUGCGAGUACCUGAAGAAAAAGCAUCGGCUAACUCCGUGCCAGCAGCCGCGGUAAUACGGAGGAUGCGAGCGUUAUCCGGAUUUAUUGGGUUUAAAGGGUGCGCAGGCGGAAUGUCAAGUCAGCGGUAAAAUUUCGGGGCUCAACCCCGUCGUGCCGUUGAAACUGGCGUUCUUGAGUGAGCGAGAAGUAUGCGGAAUGCGUGGUGUAGCGGUGAAAUGCAUAGAUAUCACGCAGAACUCCGAUUGCGAAGGCAGCAUACCGGCGCUCAACUGACGCUCAUGCACGAAAGCGUGGGUAUCGAACAGGAUUAGAUACCCUGGUAGUCCACGCAGUAAACGAUGAAUACUAACUGUCCGGGCAGAAUGAUGCCUGGGUGGUACAGCGAAAGCGUUAAGUAUUCCA